This 471-nucleotide ribosomal RNA is filed under the name uncultured marine bacterium. Its description in RNAcentral is "bacterial SSU rRNA". It matches the Rfam family "Bacterial small subunit ribosomal RNA", at positions 8 to 469 of the family's 1533-position model. The record is from RNAcentral.
AGAGUUUGAUCCUGGCUCAGAUUGAACGCUGGCGGUAUGCUUAACACAUGCAAGUCGAACGGAAACGAUGUUAGCUUGCUAACAGGCGUCGAGUGGCGGACGGGUGAGUAACGCGUAGGAAUCUACCAAGUAGUGGGGGAUAGCCCGGAGAAAUCCGGAUUAAUACCGCAUAAUCUCUACGGAGUAAAGAGGGCCUCUAUUUAUAAGCUUUCGCUAUUUGAUGAGCCUGCGUAAGAUUAGCUUGUUGGUGAGGUAAAAGCUCACCAAGGCAACGAUCUUUAGCUGGUCUGAGAGGAUGAUCAGCCACACUGGGACUGAGACACGGCCCAGACUCCUACGGGAGGCAGCAGUGGGGAAUAUUGGACAAUGGGCGCAAGCCUGAUCCAGCAAUACCGCGUGUGUGAAGAAGGCCUGAGGGUUGUAAGGCACUUUCAAUUGUGAAGAAAAGCUAAAGAUUAAUACUCUUUAGCC